RNAcentral lists this ribosomal RNA (200 nucleotides) under uncultured bacterium. Its description in RNAcentral is "partial 16S ribosomal RNA". It matches the Rfam family "Bacterial small subunit ribosomal RNA", at positions 8 to 231 of the family's 1533-position model. The record is from RNAcentral.
AGAGUUUGAUCAUGGCUCAGGAUAAACGCUGGCGGCGUGCCUAACACAUGCAAGUCGAACGCCCUUUGCAAAAAGGGAGUGGCGGACGGGUGAGGAACACGUGGGUGAUCUACCUUGAGGUGAGGAAUACCGGCGAGAAAUCGCCGACAAUACCGCAUGAGCUCGAAAGAGCAAAGUCGCAAGACGCCUUGAGAUGAGCC